This 284-nucleotide ribosomal RNA is filed under the name uncultured bacterium. RNAcentral's name for it is "partial 16S ribosomal RNA". It matches the Rfam family "Bacterial small subunit ribosomal RNA", at positions 333 to 613 of the family's 1533-position model. The record is from RNAcentral.
CGUUGCCUACGGGGGGCAGCAGUGAGGAAUAUUGGUCAAUGGGCGAGAGCCUGAACCAGCCAAGUCGCGUGAAGGAUGACGGCCCUACGGGUUGUAAACUUCUUUUGUCAGGGAGCAAUUGGGUCCACGCGUGGGCUUAGCGAGAGUAACUGAAGAAAAAGCAUCGGCUAACUCCGUGCCAGCAGCCGCGGUAAUACGGAGGAUGCGGGCGUUAUCCGGAUUUAUUGGGUUUAAAGGGUGCGUAGGAGGAAUAUCAAGUCAGCGGAAAAAAUUCGGGGCUCAAC